This 275-nucleotide ribosomal RNA is filed under the name uncultured Algoriphagus sp. RNAcentral describes it as "partial 16S ribosomal RNA". It matches the Rfam family "Bacterial small subunit ribosomal RNA", at positions 338 to 611 of the family's 1533-position model. The record is from RNAcentral. Lineage: Bacteria; Pseudomonadati; Bacteroidota; Cytophagia; Cytophagales; Cyclobacteriaceae.
CCUACGGGGGGCAGCAGUAGGGAAUAUUGGGCAAUGGUCGGAAGACUGACCCAGCCAUGCCGCGUGCAGGAAGAAUGCCCUCUGGGUUGUAAACUGCUUUUAUCUGGGAAGAAAAAGGCCAUGCGUGGCAAAUUGCCGGUACCAGAUGAAUAAGCACCGGCUAACUCCGUGCCAGCAGCCGCGGUAAUACGGAGGGUGCAAGCGUUGUCCGGAUUUAUUGGGUUUAAAGGGUGCGUAGGCGGCUAUUUAAGUCAGCGGUGAAAGACUUCAGCUUA